AAUCUUAUGAUUUUUAUGUAAGACAAUUUCUGCCCAAUGAUUAAUUUUUAAUGGCCGCAGUACCCUGACUGUGCUAAGGUAGCAUAAUAAAUUGGCUUUUAAAUGAAGUCUAGAAUGAAAGAAUAUAUGAGUAAUGAUUAUCUUUUUUAUAUUUACUUGAAAUUAUUUAUUUAGGUGAAAAGACCUAUUAUAAGAAAAGAAAGACGAGAAGACCCUUAGAAUUUUAAAAAUUAAAAUUUUAUGGUUUCUUUUUUUUGUUGGGGUGACAUAUAAACAUUUUUAACUUUUUAUUUACACAAGAACAAAAAUUAGGUUAGAAUAAAUUACCUUAGGGAUAACAGCAUAAUUUUUUUAUAAGAUUAUGACCUCGAUGUUGGACUAGGAACUUUAUAGUUAGUAACUAAAUUAGUAAGUUCGGUUCGAACUUUUUUAUUCCU
This 437-nucleotide ribosomal RNA is filed under the name Gulella bicolor. RNAcentral's name for it is "Huttonella bicolor partial 16S ribosomal RNA". The record is from RNAcentral. Lineage: Eukaryota; Metazoa; Mollusca; Gastropoda; Stylommatophora; Streptaxidae.